RNAcentral lists this transfer RNA (73 nucleotides) under Ferruginibacter sp. RNAcentral describes it as "tRNA-Arg". It matches the Rfam family "tRNA". From Rfam's summary of the family: Transfer RNA (tRNA) molecules are approximately 80 nucleotides in length. Their secondary structure includes four short double-helical elements and three loops (D, anti-codon, and T loops). The record is from RNAcentral. Lineage: Bacteria; Pseudomonadati; Bacteroidota; Chitinophagia; Chitinophagales; Chitinophagaceae.
GGGCUUAUGGUUUAAUGGAUCAGAAUGCUUCACUUCGGAUGAAGCGGUACAGGUUCGAAUCCUGUUUAGCCCU